This 301-nucleotide ribosomal RNA is filed under the name uncultured bacterium. RNAcentral's name for it is "partial 16S ribosomal RNA". It matches the Rfam family "Bacterial small subunit ribosomal RNA", at positions 509 to 809 of the family's 1533-position model. The record is from RNAcentral.
CAGUCGCCGCGGUAAUACGAGGGGUGCAAGCGUUAUUCGGAUUGAUUGGGUGUAGAGGGUGUGCAGACGGCUUAUUAAGUCACUUGUUAAAUUCUUCGGCCUAACUGAAGGUCUGCAAGUGAUACUGAUGAGCUAGAGGGUGGAAGAGAGAAGUGGAAUUCUCGGAGUAGCGGUAAAAUGCGUAGAUCUCGAGAGGAACACCAAUGGCGAAGGCAGCUUCUUGGUCCAUUCCUGACGUUCAUACACGAAAGCGUGGGGAGCAAACAGGAUUAGAUACCCCCGUAGUCCCUGUCUCUUAUAU